Long non-coding RNA from Cebus imitator (Panamanian white-faced capuchin), 3152 nucleotides. RefSeq lists it as uncharacterized. NCBI's taxonomy places the organism in Eukaryota, Metazoa, Chordata, Mammalia, Primates, Cebidae. The record is from RefSeq and is a predicted model, not a curated record. The transcript is spliced from 3 exons.
GGCCUAUACAUUCUAUGUCAGUUCAUGCUUUUUAAAUUUUAAUCUAAUGAUACAUUUUCAAUCAUUCUCUAAUUGCUUUCUCUAUAGACAGAUAAUCUGAGUGGACUAAAGUUUAUCCUUGGGUUAUCAUAAAUUCCAAAUGAGCAGAACUGGAGAAAUGAAAUCUUCCUAGACUUGGUAUACGCUGGACCUGUGACUUUGUGUGCCUACCCAUACCUGGCUGUCUAUUCUUAGUAACAGGGUGUGGUGAUAAGGACAUUGGCCUGGUAGUCAGGAGGCUCCACACUGUAUCUAGCACUGUCUCUGACUGUGUAACAAGACAACUCUAAUAAUCUGUUUUUCUCUAAAUUUAUUUUAAAAUUUUGGUUACAUAUACAUAACAUCAAAUUUACCAUCUUAGCAAUUUUUAAACAUCUAGUUCAGUGGCAUAAGUACAUUCACAUUGUUGUGCAACCUUUACCACCAUUCAUUUCCAGAACUCUUUUCAUCUUGCAAAUCUGAAACUCUGUACCUAUUACACAAUAGCUUCCUGUUCUCCCAAGUUCUGUCUCUCUGAGUUUGACUACUCUAUUUGCCUCAUAUAAGUGGAAUCAUAUAGUAUUUAUCCUUUUGUGACUGGCUUAUUUCAAUUAGCAUAAUGUCCUCAAACUUCAUCUGUGUUGUAGCAUAUGUCAGAAUUUUCUUCCUUUUUAGGGCUGAAUAAUAUUCCAUAAUACAUAUACAGUGUUUUGUUUAGCUGUUCGUCUAUCAGUGGACACUUGGUUGCUUCCACCAUGUGGCUGUUGUGAAUAGUGCAGCUGUGAGCCUGGGUUCACAAAUACCUGUUUGAGAACCUACUUUCAGUUCUUUUGGUAAUAUUCCCAGAAAUGGAAUUGCUGCAUCAUAUGGUAAUUCUAUUUUUAAUUUUUUUAGAGAUCAUCAUUCUGUUUUCCAAAAUGGCUGCACCAUUUUACAUUCCCACCAACAAUGCAUGAAGAUUCCAAUUUUUCUAUGUCCAUGCUGACACAUGGUUAUUUGUUUUUUUAAAAUUCACUCUGAUUGUGUGUAUGUGUGAUGAUCAAUUAAGUUUGUAUGUGUCUAUAUGGUUUUCAGUUUUAUCUUGGUUACUCCGAAUGACCUAGACCAGUGUUUCCCAAACUUUCUGGACCAUAAAACUUACCUAGAAUAAGAUUCUCUGUCCUAGACAUGUUAAAUCAGAAUCUCUGGGGUAGGAUCCUGAAAACCUGUAUAUUUAAAAAGUACCCUAGGGUGAUUCUUGUUAAUAUAAUCACACAAACCUGAGAAAUACUGAUUAGACCUUUAUUUUCUAUGAUUAUUGAUCAGAUAGGUUUUAUAAACUUUCCAUAAUCUCCCUCUUGAAAAUUAACAAUGAACAUUAGCUUAUUAAGGGUUAUGUAAAAAUUUCUCUGAGUAAAGCCAUUUUAUGUCUUUUUAAUCCAGCAUUUCCCAGUGUAACCAUGAACACUGUUUUGGGGCCAUAUCAUUUCAUUUCUUAUGCUAUACUUUUACUUUUUCAAGACAUAUUUUUGAUUUAGACAAAUGGUUCCCAACUCAUUUUGUGGGAAAAUUUUUCCAUUUUAAAAACUUUAUUGUGGAAAAGUUCUACUAGAUGUAGUGACUUACAACCUAACACUGUAUUAAGGCCUUAACUAUCAAUUGAUUCUCUGUGUGCAAGAGGUCUUUUGUUUUCUCUGUAUUUUCCACAGCCUUGUUUGCUUAUAAUUAGUGAAAGCUGUUGAUUUUUUUUUUUUGUUUUUCUGGGUUAAUUAUUUUAGUCUUAAAUCUGUAGACUUAUUCAUUGUAUUUGUCUUUUGAUACUAGUGAUAUAUAAAGAUGAUUUUCAUAUGUGAAGGAGAACUCUGCAAAGAUCUUUGCUUCCUGUGACCAUAGUAAUAACGAUUGCUGAGAUUGUAGGGCAACUGGCUAGCUUGAAGUCUAAGAAGAAACAGAUGCAGGGAAAGACAUGAGCACUUGCUUACCUGGGCACCCACAGCUGGACACUGGAAAUGUUGAGUAACAACUAUGUGACAAGUACUGUACUGGAGUCCGUGAUACAAAAACUAUUAAGGUAAGUGUCUGCCCUUGAUAAACUUUUAGGGGAAGGUAGCAAAAACUGUUAUAGAGGGAAGUUCAAUGCCAUGUGGAACAUUCUGAUUAAUGUAACUUCAUUUAGCAAGUUUUGUUCAGUUUCCUUUUAUCUUCUGCUUGGAAUUCUUCUAUCAUUUAGAAUCUCAAUGCUAUUUUACUCUUCUCUUAUUCCCCCUUCCUCAUUCAAACUAUUUUGGAAUUCUCAGUCGUUCCUGAUGUUUUCCUAACUUAGAGAGAAACAGUGGCUUUGUCCUGAAUGUACCUUAUCUAGUAUUACAGUUACUCGAAUACCUCUUUGCUUAACACACUACUCUUACCAAAGAAACUUUGUAGUCUGAAUAUAAAGCUUUCACUUAAACUUUUGCUGCUUUGUUUUGUUUAUUCCAUGGUCUUUUCAUAGAAUAAAACAGUUAACUUAGGAAACCUGUAAAACCUCUUUGAAAAAAAUGUGUAUACAUGUAUUUUGCAAUAAUUUCAGAUAAUCAGAAAUACAUUCUUUUUUAAAAAUAAUUUCAACUUUUAUUUUAGAUUCAAGGAACACAUGUGCAAGUUUGUUGCAUGGGUGUAUUGUGUAAUGCUGAGAUUUGAGAUAGGAAUGAUCCAGUCACCCAGGUAAUGAGCAUAGUACCCAAUGAUUUUCUAGCCCUUGCCCCCCUCCUUUUCUCCCCUCCCUUAAUAGUCUCCAGUGUCUAUUGACAUCUUUAUGUUCAUGAGUGCCCAGUGUUUAGCCUCCACUUAUAAGUAUGAUCUGAAUGCUAUUUGGUUUUCUUUUUUUGCAUUAAUUUGCUUAGGAGAAUAGCCUCCAGCUGUUUCUAUGUUGCUGUAAAGAAUAUGAUUUGUUCUUUUUUAUGGAUAAAUAGUAUUCCAUGAGGAGUGGAAUAGUAUUCCACACACUCCUCAUGUUUUCUUUAUCCAAUCCACUGUUGAGGACACUUAGGUUAGUUCCAUGUUUUUUUGCUGUUGUGAAUAGUGAUGCAACAAACAUGCAAGUGCAUGUGUCUCUUUCAUAGAACAGUUUCUUUUAUUUUGGAUAUAUGCCUAGUAAUGGCAUUGCUGAGUCAAAU